UCUGACUCACGUAAAAGUAGACUCCAAUCCAUCCUUCUCAUCUUUCUCCUUCUUCAUCAGAUAAGCAUCCAAAAAGUCAUCUGGCUCAUCGUGUAACACA
Molecule: small nucleolar RNA, 100 nt
Filed under: Caenorhabditis remanei
Lineage: Eukaryota; Metazoa; Nematoda; Chromadorea; Rhabditida; Rhabditidae
Description: Small nucleolar RNA sn2524
Rfam family: Small nucleolar RNA sn2524
Source: Rfam by way of RNAcentral